GAUCCUGGCUCAGGAUGAACGCUAGCGGCAGGCCUAACACAUGCAAGUCGAGGGGUAGUUACUUUCGGGUAAUGAGACCGGCGCACGGGUGCGUAACGCGUAUGCAAUCUACCUUUUACAGGGGAAUAGCCCAGAGAAAUUUGGAUUAAUACCUCAUGGUAUAUAUCAUUCGCAUGUUUGAUAUAUUAAAGUUCCAACGGUAAAAGAUGGGCAUGCGUCCUAUUAGCUAGAUGGUAAGGUAACGGCUUACCAUGGCAACGAUAGGUAGGGGUCCUGAGAGGGAGAUCCCCCACACUGGUACUGAGACACGGACCAGACUCCUACGGGAGGCAGCAGUGAGGAAUAUUGGGCAAUGGGCGCUAGCCUGACCCAGCCAUGCCGCGUGCAGGAAGACGGUCCUAUGGAUUGUAAACUGCUUUUGUACGGGAAGAAACCCUAUUACGUGUAAUAGAUUGACGGUACCGUACGAAUAAGGAUCGGCUAACUCCGUG
RNAcentral lists this ribosomal RNA (491 nucleotides) under uncultured bacterium. Its description in RNAcentral is "bacterial SSU rRNA". It matches the Rfam family "Bacterial small subunit ribosomal RNA", at positions 15 to 507 of the family's 1533-position model. The record is from RNAcentral.